UAGGGAAUCUUCGGCAAUGGACGAAAGUCUGACCGAGCAACGCCGCGUGAGUGAAGAAGGUUUUCGGAUCGUANAACUCUGUUGUUAGAGAAGAACAAGGACGUUAGUAACUGAACGUCCCCUGACGGUAUCUAACCAGAAAGCCACGGCUAACUACGUGCCAGCAGCCGCGGUAAUACGUAGGUGGCAAGCGUUGUCCGGAUUUAUUGGGCGUAAAGCGAGCGCAGGCGGUUUCUUAAGUCUGAUGUGAAAGCCCCCGGCUCACCCCGGGGGGGGGUCCUUGGAAAAUGGGGGACUUGAGUGCAGAAGAGGGGAGUGGAAUUCCAUGUGUAGCGGUGAAAUGCGUAGAAAUAAGGAGGAACACCCAGUGGCGAAGGCGGCUCUCUGGUCUGUAACUGUCGCUGCGGCUAGAAAAAGUGGGGGGGGCAAACAGGAUAAGAUACCCUGGUAGUUCCACGCCGUAAACGAUGAGUGCUAAGUGUUGGAGGGUUUCCGCCCUUCAGUGCUGCAGCAAACGCAUUAAGCACUCCGCCUGGGGAGUACGACCGCAAGGUUG
Molecule: ribosomal RNA, 556 nt
Filed under: uncultured bacterium
Lineage: Bacteria
Description: partial 16S rRNA
Rfam family: Bacterial small subunit ribosomal RNA
Source: RNAcentral